Xenopus laevis (African clawed frog) is the source of this 570-nucleotide long non-coding RNA. RefSeq lists it as uncharacterized. The record is from RefSeq and is a predicted model, not a curated record. NCBI's taxonomy places the organism in Eukaryota, Metazoa, Chordata, Amphibia, Anura, Pipidae. The transcript is spliced from 2 exons.
UGGAGCACGGAUCAGGGCCCCAGGUCUAAGAUCUCGCCACGAUUAGAGGCCACUGAAUUUAUUCAAGAGCCUCUCCAGCUUCAUCCUAUCUGCCCUUCAGCCUUCCCGCUCUACGGAGGUCUGCAGGCUUGCUCCUCACCCCUGCACUGUCUUCCCGCUCUACGGAGGUCUGCAGCAGUGAUAUACACUCUCCUGAGUGUAUAAUAACAUACAUAUACAUAUAUAUUUCACAGCUGUGUAUUUAUAUAUUUAUCUGUGUGUUCUUUCUUCUCAGGGGUCUUUCUACUCAGGGCACUCUUCAGCUGGCAUUUUUUAUCAGAGUCUCUGGAGCGCGCCUACCUACAGCUCCCUUGUAGCUGCCCUCUACUCCGCUUCCCAUCAGCUCCUGUUCAACCCUCUUUCAGGCAAGUUACACUCUCUGGCUUACUCUGUAACAGUGUUUUGUAUUAUACUUUUAAAAGCUACCCAGGGAGCAUGGGACUGAGGGAUCACCCCUUUUUAUCUCUCCUCUCUCUGCAGGCCAUUUCUACAGCACCUCUGCAAUUUUGUGCCUGUCUCCACUCCCCUGCC